CCGAACUGCUGUCCUCACUUUCGAUCAAUUCUUUGCUCCAAGCGCUAGCGCCGGAUGCAAAAAUUGGGUUCCUGUGYUGCAUACCUAUUGCGACGGAAAUUUGUUCCUCUAGUUGUCCCUUCCAUCACAGCAUCCUUUCGGGUGCUUGGGUGGACUAGAUAGCGGGGCUUGUGUUCCCACGAGCGAUCUAUGGGAUCGUUCGAACGGACCGCGAGUGCUUGCUUGUUCUCUCGGAUGCGGAACUUUGUUCCUGGGCAUGGGGUCAUCGGCCCUUGCUCCCAAUUCUCUAAGCGUUUAUCGCUUUACUGGAAUGACGCUCUUGCCUUGUCUUUGAUCAAAGUGGAGCUCUCGAGCUCCAUGACGGAUCAUGCUCGGCGGACGUCGUGAAGGAAUGCUACCUGGUUG
Molecule: unclassified non-coding RNA, 405 nt
Filed under: Lindsayomyrtus racemoides
Lineage: Eukaryota; Viridiplantae; Streptophyta; Magnoliopsida; Myrtales; Myrtaceae
Description: partial external transcribed spacer
Source: RNAcentral